GACGAACGCUGGCGGCGUGCUUAACACAUGCAAGUCGAGCGGUAAGGCCUCUUCGGGGGUACACGCUCGGCUAACGGGUGAGUAACUCGUGGGUGACUUGCCCUCAGCUCUGUGUUAAGCCUCGUCAACUGGGUCUAAUACCGGAUAUGACCUUUCCUCUCAUGCGUUUUGGUGGAUAGUUUUUUUGGGCGGGGAUGGGUGCGCUGCCUGUCAGCUGGUUGGUGGGUGGAUGGCUUACUAAGGCGACGACUGGUAGCCGGCCUGAGAGGGCGACCGGCCAGACUGGGAGUGAGACACGGCACAGACUCGUACGGGAGGCAGCAGUGGGGAAUAUUGCGCAAUGGGCGGAAGCCUGACGCAGCGACGCCGCGUGGGGGAUGACGGCGGUCGGGUUGUAAACCUCUUUCGACCCCGACGAAGUGGGACGGUAGGGGUAGAAGAAGCACCGGCCAACUACGUG
This 460-nucleotide ribosomal RNA is filed under the name uncultured bacterium. RNAcentral describes it as "partial 16S ribosomal RNA". It matches the Rfam family "Bacterial small subunit ribosomal RNA", at positions 28 to 507 of the family's 1533-position model. The record is from RNAcentral.